GAGCAGCUUAAGUUGUGACGGCGUGCCUUUUGCAUAAUGAACCUACGAGUUACUUUUUCCGGCAAGGUUAAGCAUCUUGAGAUGUGGAUCCGAAGCGAAAGCGAGUCUGAAUAGGGCGGAUAGUCGGAAGGAGUAGACGCGAAACCAAGUGAUCUACCCUUGGGCAGGUUGAAGGUUAGGUAACACUAACUGGAGGACCGAACCGAUAAGCGUUGAAAAGCUU
This 223-nucleotide ribosomal RNA is filed under the name Bacteroides fragilis. Its description in RNAcentral is "partial 23S ribosomal RNA". It matches the Rfam family "Bacterial large subunit ribosomal RNA", at positions 577 to 799 of the family's 2925-position model. The record is from RNAcentral. Lineage: Bacteria; Pseudomonadati; Bacteroidota; Bacteroidia; Bacteroidales; Bacteroidaceae.